GUCGUGAGAUGUUGGGUUAAGUCCCGCAACGAGCGCAACCCCCGUCGCAUGUUGCCAGCAUUAAGUUGGGGACUCAUGCGAGACUGCCGGUGACAAACCGGAGGAAGGUGGGGAUGACGUCAAGUCAUCAUGCCCCUUAUGUCCAGGGCUACACACGUGCUACAUUGGCGCGUACAGAGGGCUGCGAUACCGCGAGGUGGAGCGAAUCCCUCAAAGCGCGUCUCGGUUCGGAUUGUAGGCUGAAACUCGCCUACAUGAAGGCGGAGCUGCUAGUAAUCGCGGAUCAGCACUGCCGCGGUGAAUACGUUCCCGGGCCUUGUACACACCGCCCGUCACACCACGGAAGCAGGCAACACCCGAAGCCGGUGGCCUAACCCUUUGGGAGGGAGCCGUCGAAGGUGGGGCCCGUGACUGGGGUGAAGUCGUAACAAGGUAGCCGUACCGGAAGGUGCGGCUGGAUCACCUCCUUUCUAGGGAGCUCCAGGACUGGAGCGCCUGCUCGAGACCACGAGCGCAAUACCGCGCGAGUGUUCCCCUCGACCAGGUUCCUAACGUCGACCGAUCUGGACGUGGCGCCUCGUGCGCCGGCCGAUAGGGCUCGUUCGCGAGCUGGCCGGCUCCAAGUCACAGGCGUCUGCAUGCUGUUGAGUUUUGAGAGACCGACGGCCCAAGUCCCGGGCCGGCGCCUUUCUUGUCGGACCUUGAAAACUGCACAGUCAUCCAACAAACGGAUGCCACGACGAAAGCGAGCCUUCGGGCUCGUUCUUGUGCGUGGCAAGGGGCGCAUCCCUUUCCUUAGGGGUUGCGUUCUGCAAGAUCGAUCGAGAUCACCGUCAAGAUAUAAAGGGCACACGGUGGAUGCCUAGGCACCAGGAGUCGAUGAAGGGCGUGAACGGCUGCGAUAAGCCGCGGGUAGGCGCUGAAUGGCCUGUGAUCCGCGGAUAC
This 945-nucleotide small RNA is filed under the name uncultured Conexibacter sp. Its description in RNAcentral is "bacterial SSU rRNA". The stretch from base 1 to 470 matches the Rfam family "Bacterial small subunit ribosomal RNA", at positions 1064 to 1533 of the family's 1533-position model. The record is from RNAcentral. Lineage: Bacteria; Bacillati; Actinomycetota; Thermoleophilia; Solirubrobacterales; Conexibacteraceae.